UGGCAGUUAGACAUGCCGUUGUUCUGCCAUUCUCAAGUUCUGAUCAUUUAAUCUGAACUAUCAACAUCUUUUCUCCACCAGUACUCUGCACCCCCACUAUCUCCCCACCCCAUCUGUUGCAUAAAUGCUGCAUCCUCCUCAUUUUAUUUCAGCUCUGAUGAAGAGUCGUCUAGACUCGAAACAUUAGCUUGCUCUCUCCACAGAUGCUGACUGACCCACUGUGAUCUUCAGCAUUUAUUGCCCUCUACUCCUUUAUCCUUCAUAUGUUUGUCUACCUUUUUCUUCAGAAAGCAUGUUACAAUAUUUUGCUGACUUUUUGGCACUACUGACAUAUUGUUGCAGAUCAAACAAUGGUUGUGGCAUAAAAUAGUAAGAUUUUCAGUAUAACUAUGCAGCAGGUUUGAAUAUGGUUUUAUUUGAAUGUAUUUGAAGUUUUGAGGCUUUGUGCUAUCGGCCUAUGGUAAUUUCAGCUGCGAUUGUAUGAAAGCCCUGUAAUACCGAAAGCAAGAGGACAGCUGAAAAAUUGCCACACCGAAGGGAAGGUAUACCAUAGGGUGAUUUAUGCUUGUAAUGUUAUAACUUCAACAUGAUCAGAAAGGGAGGCAAGAAUAUUUGAGAGAAGAAUCCUAAUUAUUAAUGUAGAUAUAUUUAAACUUGUGAUCGUCUUUUAGCAUUGAUUUACAUUGUGUAUGAGUGUAAAUCUCUGAAAAUAAGAAAAUUGAAUAAAUGCAAACAGCAAAAUUUUAAGAUAAACUUAAUAGUGCAGCCAAUAGAAAAGUGUGUUUAAUAAAUCUAAUCUUAAUUCAUAGGAUCCUAAGAACCUCUUGACACUCUAGGAAACCUGCAGAAGUGCUAUAUUGUUUUAGCAAUAAUUCGGUAUCAGUUAGUUUGAGCCAGUGGGAUAUAUUGUCAAGAACAAAUUAAAAUUGUAUGGCAAGCUGUAAUCUUAGUUGCUGGAAUACACUAAAUUUCAUUAUUUUAAAUUUUAAAAAUAUGAAUUGUUUUAUAAAUAAAAUGUGUAGCAUCAUUAAACUUUGCAAAUUUUAAGCAUUUUUAUUAAUACUGAUGUGAACUUUGAAUCACUUCAGGAUUAAAAAUAAAUCAGGAUUUUUAGAUUAGUGGCUUGUCUAACUGUUGUAGGUUUUCAAUUGAAAGAUAGGUUCAUUUUCUUCAAUCCUAGAACUGCAUCUGUUUUUCCACUUUAACUGCAUUUCUAGAACCUGUUUGUUUCAGGACUGUACUAAAUGUUGCCCUUUUUUGUUGUUUUGUUCUAAAUCUAUUACUGGUUUAUUUUAUCUUGAUGAAAGAAUUGAAAUUAGUUCACUUAAAAUUUGCAUUGCUAUUAGCUGCAUCGCUGCCAGUGAGUGAAGUCAAUCAGUUUGAAGUCUGUGAGAGGUUUAGCUGUAUAGGUACCAGUGAGAAAGAGCAAUCAUUUUGAUGACAAUAGAAGGGUUUAGCUGUCAAGUAAAGAUUGCCAGUGGAAGUGGGAAUUCCGUUUUUACACCUGUUUUAACCUUGUGAAAGUUUGAAUGAGAAGAUUGGUCAAUUUCAUCACCGCGGUUGGAUAUAUAAAAUCCAAUUCCCACCUUUAAAACCGACAGAAGGAGCUUAUUUAAUUUAUUGUGAUGGAGACAGAAGUGGGAGGUUGUGCUUUCAGGAGGGAUUAAGUAUGGUAAUAGAACAAGAUGUUUGUGUUGUUGUUUCAGUUCUGAUUUCUGUGUUUGAGUAACUGUCUAACUACGUGAUGAUAUGGACUUCUUGACUAAUGAAUCAAUAUCAGUGGUUUUUAAUUUGUGUUCGUUUAAGUAUUUUGUCUUUUUCAGGAUUGUUCUAAAAUAGUGCCUUAAUUUUUAUUUUUGUUUUUCCUUUUAGGACUGCUGCUGUUUUUCAGAGGUUUUAUCAACUACCUGAAAAUCAGAAAUAUGUCUGAGAACGUGGCUGCGACACACCGGACCAGACUUUUCUUCUUGUACUAGAGUAUGUGGCUAACGAGGAACUCGAACAUUCCUUCCUAAUGUGAAAUGUCCAGAUGUUGUGCUUCAAGCUGCCAAGUUAUUUGGAUGUAAAACUACUGAAGAAUAAAUAAUUUAAGGUGUGACAACAAAAUCUAAGUGGAAUAAUGAAUCUCAAGACACUUCAUAAAAUGGGCCGAGUUCCUGAGUUGCUAGAUGCUGGAACCUUCCCCUUCAAAUUUUAAGUCCAGUGAUCUUUUCAACGUAUAAAGGUUCUAAUCUACAAAUUGCUACAGAAGAAAUACAAUGGAGCCAUUUUUUUUUUUUGAACCCUGAAUCAUCGAUCAAACAUUGACAUUGAAAUAUGUCUGUGACUGAACACCCAAAAUGCUUCACCGUCUCACCUAACCAGUUCGUAAUCAGUUUAUUGAUUUGAUUUAAAGCAAACUGACCUAUUUUUAAACUAUUUAAAAUGAUUGAGCUUUAAAAGCAGUCUUUUUCUUGCUAAAUUGGAAAUAUCUGAAGAACAAGUAUGUAAUUUACUGGAAUUAGGAUUAGAGCUGUAUUAAAUAUCUUGAUUUGCCUUUUAAAAGUUGCAGAACAAGUAGUUGUUCCCUUAUUUGUAUGGUUUUCCGCUUUUGAAAUUGCUUUGAUUGCUUAUUCUCAGUGCCCAGUUUUACAGUGACUAUUGCAUGACAUGAAACUGGUAACAACAAUUUCUUUAUUGGCUGAACUAUUGCUUCAGAUUGCUAGAGAAAUAUAACUGGAAUUUAAUUUUAACAUUGUGGUUGUAAAUUAUUUUUUACGCCAAUUAUUUCCGUGUUCUUUUUAAAGUAAUCUAACAAAUCAAAUGAUGGAGUAAGAAAGGAUUGUCCAUUUGAUUCUGUGCUGAUUUUUUUUCUUUUAAAAUUGUUUCUGUUAAACUAGCUUACAACUAAAGUAUAUGUAAUGAAGAAAAUCAAAGUCCCAUUUGAAGUCAGUGAUGGUGACUUCAGUUAUGACUUUACAGAGAUGUAUGAAACAGUAUCCUGCACUUGUAAAACUUGAGGAUAAAAGAAUAAAUGCUGAUUUAAUAA
This is a long non-coding RNA of Rhincodon typus (whale shark), 3028 nucleotides long. RefSeq lists it as uncharacterized. NCBI's taxonomy places the organism in Eukaryota, Metazoa, Chordata, Chondrichthyes, Orectolobiformes, Rhincodontidae. The transcript is spliced from 2 exons. The record is from RefSeq and is a predicted model, not a curated record.